Molecule: ribosomal RNA, 492 nt
Filed under: uncultured bacterium
Lineage: Bacteria
Description: partial 16S ribosomal RNA
Rfam family: Bacterial small subunit ribosomal RNA
Source: RNAcentral
AGUGAACGCUGGCGGUAGGCCUAACACAUGCAAGUCGAACGGCAGCACCGUAAGAGCUUGCUCUUACGGGUGGCGAGUGGCGGACGGGUGAGGAAUACAUCGGAAUCUACUUUUUCGUGGGGGAUAACGUAGGGAAACUUACGCUAAUACCGCAUACGACCUACGGGUGAAAGCAGGGGAUCUUCGGACCUUGCGCGAUUGAAUGAGCCGAUGUCGGAUUAGCUAGUUGGCGGGGUAAAGGCCCACCAAGGCGACGAUCCGUAGCUGGUCUGAGAGGAUGAUCGGCCACACUGGAACUGAGACACGGUCCAGAGUCCUACGGGAGGCAGCAGUGGGGAAUAUUGGACAAUGGGGGCAAGCCUGGUCCAGUCAUACCGCGUGGGUGAAGGAGGCCUUGGGGUUGUAAAGCCCUUUUGUUGGGAAAGAAAAGCAGCAGGUUAAUACCCCGCUGUUCUGACGGUAACCAAAGAAUAAGCACCGGCUAACUUCGUG